Molecule: ribosomal RNA, 254 nt
Filed under: uncultured bacterium
Lineage: Bacteria
Description: partial 16S ribosomal RNA
Rfam family: Bacterial small subunit ribosomal RNA
Source: RNAcentral
UACGGGGGGAGCAAGCGUUGUUCGGAUUUACUGGGCGUAAAGGGCGCGUAGGCGGUCAGCACAAGUCAGUUGUGAAAUCUCCGAGCUUAACUCGGAAAGGUCAACUGAUACUGUGCGACUAGAGUGCGGAAGGGGCAACUGGAAUUCUUGGUGUAGCGGUGAAAUGCGUAGAUAUCAAGAGGAACACCUGCGGCGAAGGCGGGUUGCUGGGCCGACACUGACGCUGAAGCGCGAAAGCCAGGGGAGCGAACGGG